GCCUGGCGCAGUGGCGCACGCCUGUAAUCCCAGCAGCUCGGGAGGCUGAGACAAGAGGAUCAUGAGUUCUAAGCCAGCUUCAGCAAUGGUGAGCCACUAAGCAACUCAGUGAGACCCUGUCUCUA
RNAcentral lists this small RNA (125 nucleotides) under Marmota monax (woodchuck). The record is from RNAcentral. Lineage: Eukaryota; Metazoa; Chordata; Mammalia; Rodentia; Sciuridae.